Molecule: transfer RNA, 72 nt
Filed under: Fulvia fulva CBS 131901
Lineage: Eukaryota; Fungi; Ascomycota; Dothideomycetes; Mycosphaerellales; Mycosphaerellaceae
Description: tRNA-Arg (CCT) (tRNA-Arg-CCT-1-1)
Rfam family: tRNA
About the family: Transfer RNA (tRNA) molecules are approximately 80 nucleotides in length. Their secondary structure includes four short double-helical elements and three loops (D, anti-codon, and T loops). Further hydrogen bonds mediate the characteristic L-shaped molecular structure. tRNAs have two regions of fundamental functional importance: the anti-codon, which is responsible for specific mRNA codon recognition, and the 3' end, to which the tRNAs corresponding amino acid is attached (by aminoacyl-tRNA synthetases). tRNAs cope with the degeneracy of the genetic code in two manners: having more than one tRNA (with a specific anti-codon) for a particular amino acid; and 'wobble' base-pairing, i.e. permitting non-standard base-pairing at the 3rd anti-codon position.
Source: RNAcentral
GGUCGUUUAGUUCAGUGGUUAGAACAUCAGCCCCCUUAGCUGAAGACCUAGGUUCAAUUCCUAGAAUGACCA